CGCGGGAUGGAGCAGCGGCAGCUCGUCGGGCUCAUAACCCGAAGGUCGUGGGUUCGAAUCCCACUCCCGCAA
RNAcentral lists this transfer RNA (72 nucleotides) under Thermobaculum terrenum ATCC BAA-798. It matches the Rfam family "tRNA". Rfam says of the family: Transfer RNA (tRNA) molecules are approximately 80 nucleotides in length. Their secondary structure includes four short double-helical elements and three loops (D, anti-codon, and T loops). The record is from Rfam by way of RNAcentral. Lineage: Bacteria; Bacillati; Chloroflexota; Chloroflexia; Thermobaculales (SeqCode); Thermobaculaceae (SeqCode).